RNAcentral lists this ribosomal RNA (815 nucleotides) under Enterobacter chuandaensis. Its description in RNAcentral is "partial 23S ribosomal RNA". It matches the Rfam family "Bacterial large subunit ribosomal RNA", at positions 398 to 1215 of the family's 2925-position model. The record is from RNAcentral. Lineage: Bacteria; Pseudomonadati; Pseudomonadota; Gammaproteobacteria; Enterobacterales; Enterobacteriaceae.
UGUGAACUCGAAGAGUAGGGCGGGACACGUGGUAUCCUGUCUGAAUAUGGGGGGACCAUCCUCCAAGGCUAAAUACUCCUGACUGACCGAUAGUGAACCAGUACCGUGAGGGAAAGGCGAAAAGAACCCCGGCGAGGGGAGUGAAAAAGAACCUGAAACCGUGUACGUACAAGCAGUGGGAGCCUCUUUAUGGGGUGACUGCGUACCUUUUGUAUAAUGGGUCAGCGACUUAUAUUCUGUAGCAAGGUUAACCGUAUAGGGGAGCCGAAGGGAAACCGAGUCUUAACUGGGCGUUAAGUUGCAGGGUAUAGACCCGAAACCCGGUGAUCUAGCCAUGGGCAGGUUGAAGGUUGGGUAACACUAACUGGAGGACCGAACCGACUAAUGUUGAAAAAUUAGCGGAUGACCUGUGGCUGGGGGUGAAAGGCCAAUCAAACCGGGAGAUAGCUGGUUCUCCCCGAAAGCUAUUUAGGUAGCGCCUCGUGAACUCAUCUUCGGGGGUAGAGCACUGUUUCGGCUAGGGGGCCAUCCCGGCUUACCAACCCGAUGCAAACUACGAAUACCGAAGAAUGUUAUCACGGGAGACACACGGCGGGUGCUAACGUCCGUCGUGAAGAGGGAAACAACCCAGACCGCCAGCUAAGGUCCCAAAGUCAUGGUUAAGUGGGAAACGAUGUGGGAAGGCACAGACAGCCAGGAUGUUGGCUUAGAAGCAGCCAUCAUUUAAAGAAAGCGUAAUAGCUCACUGGUCGAGUCGGCCUGCGCGGAAGAUGUAACGGGGCUAAACCAUGCACCGAAGCUGCGGCAGCGACACU